UUAAUUAAUAUAGCUAUGUUUUAAUUUAAUUUAAAAUAAAUUAAAACAAUAAUUUUAAAAGAUAUGUAAACUAUGAUUAGUUUUAAUUAAAAACAUUUGGUUGAAUGAGUUAAUGUUUGAUAAAAUAGUGUGAGGAUCAGAGAUAAUUUAAGGAAAAAUUUGUUUGCUUAACCCAUUUAAGUUUUAUGUUUAACAUUAAAUUAAAAAAUGAGUGAGAAAGUGUGAUUUGGAAAAAAAUAUGAGAAAAAUUUCUUAAACUACAAUUUUCCUAAUAAAUGUUUUUAUGUUUACCUUAACCAAAUUUAUCAUUAGUUUUAAAGAGAUAAAUCCUACUAUAUAAUAAUUGAGAAACCACUUAAUUGGCUUUUGAUUAUGUGUCGUUAAGGGACUGACUG
This 395-nucleotide long non-coding RNA is filed under the name Brassica napus (rape). RNAcentral's name for it is "long non-coding RNA (BNAP_LNC017867)". The record is from RNAcentral. Lineage: Eukaryota; Viridiplantae; Streptophyta; Magnoliopsida; Brassicales; Brassicaceae.